AUUGAACGCUGGCGGCAGGCCUAACACAUGCAAGUCGAACGGUAGCACAGAGAGCUUGCUCUUGGGUGACGAGUGGCGGACGGGUGAGUAAUGUCUGGGAAACUGCCCGAUGGAGGGGGAUAACUACUGGAAACGGUAGCUAAUACCGCAUAACGUCUUCGGACCAAAGUGGGGGACCUUCGGGCCUCACACCAUCGGAUGGGCCCAGAUGGGAUUAGCUAGUAGGUGGGGUAAUGGCUCACCUAGGCGACGAUCCCUAGCUGGUCUGAGAGGAUGACCAGCCACACUGGAACUGAGACACGGUCCAGACUCCUACGGGAGGCAGCAGUGGGGAAUAUUGCACAAUGGGCGCAAGCCUGAUGCAGCCAUGCCGCGUGUAUGAAGAAGGCCUUCGGGUUGUAAAGUACUUUCAGCGGGGAGGAAGGCGAUGGAGUUAAUAGCUUCAUCGAUUGACGUUACCCGCAGAAGAAGCACCGGCUAACUCCGUGCCAGCAGCCGCCGUAA
RNAcentral lists this ribosomal RNA (504 nucleotides) under uncultured bacterium. Its description in RNAcentral is "partial 16S ribosomal RNA". It matches the Rfam family "Bacterial small subunit ribosomal RNA", at positions 30 to 523 of the family's 1533-position model. The record is from RNAcentral.